GAUGAACGCUGGCGGCGUGCCUAAUACAUGCAAGUCGAGCGAACAGACGAGGAGCUUGCUCCUCUGACGUUAGCGGCAGACGGGUGAGUAACACGUGGAUAACCUACCUAUAAGACUGGGAUAACUUCGGGAAACCGGAGCUAAUACCGGAUAAUAUAUUGAACCGCAUGGUUCAAUAGUGAAAGACGGUUUUGCUGUCACUUAUAGAUGGAUCCGCGCCGCAUUGGCUAGUUGGUAAGGUAACGGCUUACCAAGGCAACGAUGCGUAGCCGACCUGAGAGGGUGAUCGGCCACACUGGAACUGAGACACGGUCCAGACUCCUACGGGAGGCAGCAGUAGGGAAUCUUCCGCAAUGGGCGAAAGCUUGACGGAGCAACGCCGCGUGAGUGAUGAAGGUCUUCGGAUCGUAAAACUCUGUUAUUAGGGAAGAACAAAUGUGUAAGUAACUAUGCACGUCUUGACGGUACCUAAUCAGAAAGCCACGGCUAACUACGUG
Molecule: ribosomal RNA, 497 nt
Filed under: uncultured bacterium
Lineage: Bacteria
Description: partial 16S ribosomal RNA
Rfam family: Bacterial small subunit ribosomal RNA
Source: RNAcentral